GAGCGAACGGACGAGAAGCUUGCUUCUCUGAUGUUAGCGGCGGACGGGUGAGUAACACGUGGAUAACCUACCUAUAAGACUGGGAUAACUUCGGGAAACCGGAGCUAAUACCGGAUAAUAUUUUGAACCGCAUGGUUCAAAAGUGAAAGACGGUCUUGCUGUCACUUAUAGAUGGAUCCGCGCUGCAUUAGCUAGUUGGUAAGGUAACGGCUUACCAAGGCAACGAUGCAUAGCCGACCUGAGAGGGUGAUCGGCCACACUGGAACUGAGACACGGUCCAGACUCCUACGGGAGGCAGCAGUAGGGAAUCUUCCGCAAUGGGCGAAAGCCUGACGGAGCAACGCCGCGUGAGUGAUGAAGGUCUUCGGAUCGUAAAACUCUGUUAUUAGGGAAGAACAUAUGUGUAAGUAACUGUGCACAUCUUGACGGUACCUAAUCAGAAAGCCACGGCUAACUACGUGCCAGCAGCCGCGGUAAUACGUAGGUGGCAAGCGUUAUCCGGAAUUAUUGGGCGUAAAGCGCGCGUAGGCGGUUUUUUAAGUCUGAUGUGAAAGCCCACGGCUCAACCGUGGAGGGUCAUCGGAAACUGGAAAACUUGAGUGCAGAAGAGGAAAGUGGAAUUCCAUGUGUAGCGGUGAAAUGCGCAGAGAUAUGGAGGAACACCAGUGGCGAAGGCGACUUUCUGGUCUGUAAC
This 694-nucleotide ribosomal RNA is filed under the name uncultured Staphylococcus sp. RNAcentral describes it as "bacterial SSU rRNA". It matches the Rfam family "Bacterial small subunit ribosomal RNA", at positions 64 to 740 of the family's 1533-position model. The record is from RNAcentral. Lineage: Bacteria; Bacillati; Bacillota; Bacilli; Caryophanales; Staphylococcaceae.